This 274-nucleotide ribosomal RNA is filed under the name uncultured bacterium. Its description in RNAcentral is "partial 16S ribosomal RNA". It matches the Rfam family "Bacterial small subunit ribosomal RNA", at positions 523 to 796 of the family's 1533-position model. The record is from RNAcentral.
AUACGGAGGGUGCAAGCGUUACUCGGAAUUACUGGGCGUAAAGGACGCGUAGGCGGUUUAGAAAGUCAGAUGUGAAAGCCUAUGGCUUAACUAUAGAACUGCAUCUGAAACUCCUAGACUAGAGUGAGGGAGAGGUCAGUGGAAUUAGUGGUGUAGGGGUAAAAUCCGUAGAGAUCACUAGGAAUACUCAUAGCGAAGGCGACUGACUGGAACUUUACUGACGCUGAGGCGUGAAAGCGUGGGGAGCAAACAGGAUUAGAAACCCCUGUAGUCC